Molecule: long non-coding RNA, 362 nt
Organism: Macadamia integrifolia
Lineage: Eukaryota; Viridiplantae; Streptophyta; Magnoliopsida; Proteales; Proteaceae
Exons: 4
Source: RefSeq, a predicted model, not a curated record
GCUUUUUAGUAUUUAGUUGGGAAAAAAAGGACCCGUUAUCGCCCCUGUAUGAUGAUGAUGCCUUACAUUCUCCAUUGCAGAGAAACCUCUUCAUCAGUCUAAUUCAUGUGACAUAGAGAGGCAAAUCUUCUUCAUCUUUCUUGUUUGAUGUGACCGGUGUACUCCGAUAUUGCUGACAUUAUGGGAAAAUUAUGCAACAAAUGAAGGGAGCAAAUUGCUGGACAUUGUAUCACAAAAUCCUAUAAUUGCUUUUUCAGCAGUUUCUCAAGUAGAGUACCAAGGUGGCUCACUUGGUACAACAGGAUUUACAUCAAUUGAAAUAAAUCCAACGAUUCCAGAAGCAGAAGAUUUAAAGCAAUGGU